Molecule: ribosomal RNA, 500 nt
Filed under: uncultured Glomeromycotina
Lineage: Eukaryota; Fungi; Glomeromycota
Description: partial small subunit ribosomal RNA
Rfam family: Eukaryotic small subunit ribosomal RNA
Source: RNAcentral
CCAAUAGCGUAUAUUAAGGUUGUUGCAGUUAAAAAGCUCGUAGUUGAAUUUCGGGGUUAGUAGGUUGGUCAUGCCUCUGGUAUGUACUGGUCUCACUGAUUCCUCCUUCCUGAUGAGCCGUAAUGCCAUUAAUUUGGUGUUGCGGGGAAUCUGGACUGUUACUUUGAAAAAAUUAGAGUGUUUAGAGCAAGCUAACGCUUGAAUACAUUAGCAUGGAAUAAUGAAAUAGGACGUUCGAUCCUAUUUUGUUGGUUUCUAGGAUUGACGUAAUGAUUAAUAGGGAUAGUUGGGGGCAUUAGUAUUCAAUUGUCAGAGGUGAAAUUCUUGGAUUUAUUGAAGACUAACUACUGCGAAAGCAUUUGCCAAGGAUGUUUUCAUUAAUCAAGAACGAAAGUUAGGGGAUCGAAGACGAUCAGAUACCGUCGUAGUCUUAACCAUAAACUAUGCCGACUAGGGAUCGGAUGAUGUUAAUUUUUUAAUGACUCAUUCGGCACCUUACG